GACGAACUGUCCUAACGUUGUUCGGAAUCACUGGGCUUAAAGGGCGCGUAGGCGGUCAAACAAGUCAGGGGUGAAAACCUGCAGCUCAACUGUAGAAGUGCCUCUGAUACUGUUUGUCUUGAAUACUUUGGAGGUAAGCGGAAUAUGUCAUGUAGCGGUGAAAUGCUUAGAUAUGACAUAGAACACCAAUUGCGAAGGCAGCUUACUACACAGUUAUUGACACUGAGGCACGAAAGCGUGGGGAUCAAACAGG
Molecule: ribosomal RNA, 253 nt
Filed under: uncultured bacterium
Lineage: Bacteria
Description: partial 16S ribosomal RNA
Rfam family: Bacterial small subunit ribosomal RNA
Source: RNAcentral